This is a long non-coding RNA of Stegostoma tigrinum, 433 nucleotides long. RefSeq lists it as uncharacterized. Lineage: Eukaryota; Metazoa; Chordata; Chondrichthyes; Orectolobiformes; Stegostomatidae. The transcript is spliced from 3 exons. The record is from RefSeq and is a predicted model, not a curated record.
GCGAUGUUGAUCUGUGCUCUGCUGGAGUGACACCUGCUCAAUAACUUCCUGAAGAUCUACAGAAUAUUUCUGGGAUUGAUGUAGCUGUAGGAAAGUGUGAAUUGCUUUGGUCAGUUACAUUUUACUGACAAUCAUAACAUUUUCCAAACUUGAAAUUGUACCUGGGAUGAAUUACAUAGAUGCCUGCAUCGACAAUGCUACAACCAUCAGCAAAAACAAGCUUGCAGGUUUUGAUGCAAGAAUGUUGACCUGAGAGUCCAGUUCAGUGAUUGAGGAGCGGUGGAGAGCAGAGAACGUAUGAGAGUGAAGUAUCAUCAGGACAUGAUGGAACAUUGGACACCAGCAUAAUGUAUGUGAAUAAUUUCAAACAGUAACUCUCUUCAAUACUAAUUGUAUAUUCUAAAUAUUGUUUUAGGUUGUUCAACUGUGCUUC